GGAGCUGUAGCUUAGUGGCAGAGCACUUGCCUGGCACGUAUGAAGCACUGGGUUCGAUCCUUAGUACCA
RNAcentral lists this transfer RNA (69 nucleotides) under Ictidomys tridecemlineatus (thirteen-lined ground squirrel). RNAcentral's name for it is "Spermophilus tridecemlineatus (thirteen-lined ground squirrel) tRNA". It matches the Rfam family "tRNA". From Rfam's summary of the family: Transfer RNA (tRNA) molecules are approximately 80 nucleotides in length. Their secondary structure includes four short double-helical elements and three loops (D, anti-codon, and T loops). Further hydrogen bonds mediate the characteristic L-shaped molecular structure. tRNAs have two regions of fundamental functional importance: the anti-codon, which is responsible for specific mRNA codon recognition, and the 3' end, to which the tRNAs corresponding amino acid is attached (by aminoacyl-tRNA synthetases). tRNAs cope with the degeneracy of the genetic code in two manners: having more than one tRNA (with a specific anti-codon) for a particular amino acid; and 'wobble' base-pairing, i.e. permitting non-standard base-pairing at the 3rd anti-codon position. The record is from Rfam by way of RNAcentral. Lineage: Eukaryota; Metazoa; Chordata; Mammalia; Rodentia; Sciuridae.